GAUGAACGCUGGCGGCGUGCCUAAUACAUGCAAGUCGAGCGAACAGACGAGGAGCUUGCUCCUUUGACGUUAGCGGCGGACGGGUGAGUAACACGUGGAUAACCUACCUAUAAGACUGGGAUAACUUCGGGAAACCGGAGCUAAUACCGGAUAAUAUAUUGAACCGCAUGGUUCAAUAGUGAAAGACGGUUUUGCUGUCACUUAUAGAUGGAUCCGCGCCGCAUUAGCUAGUUGGUAAGGUAACGGCUUACCAAGGCAACGAUGCGUAGCCGACCUGAGAGGGUGAUCGGCCACACUGGAACUGAGACACGGUCCAGACUCCUACGGGAGGCAGCAGUAGGGAAUCUUCCGCAAUGGGCGAAAGCCUGACGGAGCAACGCCGCGUGAGUGAUGAAGGUGUUCGGAUCGUAAAACUCUGUUAUUAGGGAAGAACAAAUGUGUAAGUAACUGUGCACGUCUUGACGGUACCUAAUCAGAAAGCCACGGCUAACUACGUG
Molecule: ribosomal RNA, 497 nt
Filed under: uncultured bacterium
Lineage: Bacteria
Description: partial 16S ribosomal RNA
Rfam family: Bacterial small subunit ribosomal RNA
Source: RNAcentral